GGCUCCGUAGCUCAGGGGAUAGAGCAUAAGUUUCCUAAACUUAGUGUCGCAGGUUCGAAUCCUGCCGGGGUCG
RNAcentral lists this transfer RNA (73 nucleotides) under Virgibacillus profundi. RNAcentral describes it as "tRNA-Arg". It matches the Rfam family "tRNA". From Rfam's summary of the family: Transfer RNA (tRNA) molecules are approximately 80 nucleotides in length. Their secondary structure includes four short double-helical elements and three loops (D, anti-codon, and T loops). The record is from RNAcentral. Lineage: Bacteria; Bacillati; Bacillota; Bacilli; Caryophanales; Bacillaceae.